UUAUUGAGAUAUGAGCACGGGCAGAAAUUAAUAUGAUCCCUGCUAUGAUUACUUUGCUGACAAGGUUAAUGUUGACUGUGGUGACUCGUGUAUCUUACAGAUGUUGAAAAGGGUGGUGAAACGGUCUCCCCUUCAGCUGAGGUACUUUUGGAUGAAAGAUGCAAAAAGGAGUAAAUUGGAGGUAAUUGGCAGAUUUGACGUUUAGUCGAUGUUUUCUGCAAAGCGUGAGUUCUAGAGAUCGAAAUGAAGUGAUUCCAGUGGCACUAAAAAGCUAACAUCAAUACCUUUCUGGAAAUGUAAUGCAAGAAAAAUAAAGAGAGAUUAUGGAAAUCACAUCCUGCAAAGUCAAAUCUCGCAUUCUGCUAGUGUUGACCUUUGACCAUUCAAAAUUUAAUAUCUGGAGCUACAGAAGUCCAAUUGAUGCAAACUCAAUUUUCUUGGAUUCCUAAUUCAAAGACAUAUCCACGCUCCAAAUAUCAGCCAAAAACAAUGUCAUAUGAGGGAUAUAUGAUUUUCCAAAGAUGACAACUGAAUUCUGCCAGCAAACAGGUUUCGUGAAGAAAAAAUUCCAAAUUACAUUUCGAAGCAUCUUAACCGACAUCGAAGUUUUUAUUUCAGCAAUUUAGCUCCUCUAAGUCAGAGCUUGAAGAUUUCAUGCAAGGCUAUUUCUUUUCUUAGGGAAAAUAGUUAUUGAAGUACUUGAAUGUAAACUGCCAACUUAAGGAAGGACUAUUUUGUAAAAUAGAGACUAAGAUUUCUUAGCAUAUAAAAAGAAAGAGAGAAGAGGCAGCAGCCAACAGAAAAGAGGGAGAGCAGAAGGAGGCAGCAGCCAGCAGAGAAUAAACACAAAUUCUCUCCUCCACAAACCCAAAAAUCAUGCUCUUUUCAUUCUUUAAAAGUAGUUGUUCAAUAGUUAUGCAAGGCUAAGCUCUUUUCUUGAUUGUAAGGACACAACAAACCUUCAGAUUUCAAGAAUCGUGAGAUUUAUUCUUCCUUUUAUUUUCAGUUUAUGUUAUGAAUGAGUAUGAUUGUUUUCCUAUGUAUAUUUCCUAUGAUUGUUGUUGAUGAUUGCUAGAGCGGACUCUAAGUUAUUGUUGUGAACAAUCUAUUGCUAAGUUUAAUAUUAAAACCGGAGUUGUGAUAUAUGAACUUGUGAGCAACUAAGCUUGAUAAUUGUGGCGGAACUACGUUAUUGAAUUUAGGGAGAACAUUUGAACAAAGUGACACAAGCUGCGGAUAGCUUGUAUGUUAAUUUUGAUGAAAUUAUCUAGUUCUUAAAGCUACCAUUAAAUUGAAUCAUUAGUAUGGACACUUUGAUUGUUUAUUGGUUAGGAUUAGUUAUACGGCGGAUUCGUUAAUUAAUCAACGUUAAGAAAAGAUAAAAUUUCAGAACAUAAACUAUAAUUUUCGUUUCAAGGAUCGGUUUUAAUUUUCGUUGGUGGAUGUGUGCUUGCGACCAAGGUUUGUUUUCUUGAUAAGUUUCGGUUUUAAUUGAUUUUGUUUGCUAGUUUAAUUGCUGUUAUAGUUUAGAUAGUCACAAACCAAAUCCCCCCAAUUACAUAACGUACAACAUAAAAAUCUGACUUGAAACUUCCUCGUGGGAUCGACCUCUUACUUGCUCUAUACUAUCUUGUGUGUUUUAAGCUAGGGUAAUUAAUUUGUGCGAUCGCGACAUCGCAACAAGAUACAUCUUUCAUAUGGUCAAUCAAGAAGCAAUCGAUAGUAACGUUAUCAAGCUGUGAAGUUGAGCAUGUUGCUGCCAACUCAGCUGUAUGUCAUUUAAUAUGGUUAAGGAAUAUGCUGAAGCAUUUGGGAUUUCCUCAAGAAAAUCCUACAGAGAUUUAUAUUGAUAAUCGAUCAGCGAUUGCAUUAGCAAAGAACCCAGUGUAUCAUGAAAGAAGUAAACACAUUGAUACACGUCAUCACUUUAUCCGAGAGCAUGUGAAGAACAAAGAAGUUGAACUCGUAUCAUGCAAGACAAAUGAUCAAGUUGCAGAUAUCUUUACAAAGCCAUUGAAGGGAGAAAUAUUUAUCAGAUUGAAGUUCAUGCUUGGCAUGACAUCCUGAGUUUAAAGGGGGAAUUUGUUGUGGUGAACUCAAUCUAGAAGGUCAAGGAAAGCAACCACUAACCACCACUUACAACCAACAGCUGUCAACCGCCUCAAACACCACUUGCAGCUAGCCCCCAGCUGUGUGCCGCCAGCUGCCUUCACACUCGAAGUUUGAUUUUUUCUUACUUUCAAUUUGUGUAUAAAUAGACAGCUAAGUUUAUGCUAUUAUGUGUGGAGAGAUUAAAGAGAAACACUAGAGAGAAAGAGAGGGUUUGUAUUAAGAGCUUUUGUUUAGUUAUUGUAAGUGUAUUGUUGUUGAAAUAAAACAGUGUUUUUUAUCCCCUCUGAGUGUUUCAUGUUGGUGGGAGAAACUACUGGUGGUGACUUUAAAAUACGUAGAGGGGAUAAAACACACUAUUUUAUUUGAAUAAUAAUAAACUUACAAUAACUAAAUAACUAAACAAAAGCUCUUAAUACAUUGCCUAUCUGAAUGUGCAAGAAACGGAAUUGCAGUGAAACCACGUAGAGGGGAUGCACUUCUUUUCUUCAGUCAGCUGCAUCCAACUGCUGUUCCGGACAUAAGCAGCCUUCAUGCAGGGUGCCCUGUGAUUGAAGGUGAGAAAUGGUCUGCCACAAAGUGGAUUCAUGUAGACUCAUUUGACAAGAAUGUGGAUGCUGAUGGGAAUUGCACUGAUCAGAAUGGAAGUUGUGAGAGGUGGGUAGCCCUUGGAGAACGCACCAAAAACACUGAGUGCACGGUUGGGUCACCGGACCUUCCUGGAUAUUGUAGGAGGAGUUGUAAGGUAUGUUAAGGAUAUGCCUUCCACGCUCCUUGUAGGUUUCCUUAUGGUUGGUUGUUGGUCUUUGUAGGGGACUGUACUUGAUUUUUCUUUUCAAUUACAAUCCUGUAGACAUUGCUGAAAAUGAUCCAUCUUGGAUUUUGCUAGUUGUAUUUUCCUCUCUUUGUAGAUACAGCCAGCUUUCAUGAAAUGAAUGAAAUACAGAAAAUGCAUUUAGCGUA
Populus nigra (black poplar) is the source of this 3072-nucleotide long non-coding RNA. RefSeq lists it as uncharacterized. The record is from RefSeq and is a predicted model, not a curated record. The transcript is spliced from 3 exons. Lineage: Eukaryota; Viridiplantae; Streptophyta; Magnoliopsida; Malpighiales; Salicaceae.